RNAcentral lists this unclassified non-coding RNA (630 nucleotides) under Hevea brasiliensis (rubber tree). Lineage: Eukaryota; Viridiplantae; Streptophyta; Magnoliopsida; Malpighiales; Euphorbiaceae. The record is from RNAcentral.
UGUCACAGAAAUCCCGCCACCUAUUCCACAACCCCAAUCCGAAACCGAGUCUCCAAAUGCGGCUCCAGAGAAUCAAAAGCAGCAGCUAAUCCUGCGUGGUAAGCGUCCGGACCCUGAAAAAUUAGAGGAUAUAAUAUGCAGAAUGAUGGCCAGUCGGGCCUGGACGACGCGGUUGCAGAACUCAAUCCGGGAUUUGGUUCCCGAAUUUGACCACUCUUUAGUCUAUAAUGUUCUGCACGGUGCUCGUAACUCUGAGCACGCCCUCCAGUUCUUCAGGUGGGUUGAGCGGGCUGGGUUGUUUCGGCACGACCGUGAGACCCAUACGAAGAUUAUUGAGAUUUUGGGUCGAGCUUCGAAGCUCAAUCACGCUCGUUGUAUUCUCUUGGAUAUGCCAAAGAAGGGGGUUGAGUGGGAUGAGGAUAUGUUUGUAGUGCUAAUUGAGAGUUAUGGUAAGGCUGGGAUAGUUCAAGAAGCUGUUAAGAUAUUUCAGAAAAUGAAUGAAUUGGGUGUGGAGAGGUCAGUUAAGAGUUAUGAUACUUUGUUUAAGGUGAUCUUGAGGAGAGGGAGAUAUAUGAUGGCUAAGAGGUUUUUUAAUAAGAUGCUGAGUGAAGGGAUUGAGCCAACUAGGCA